RNAcentral lists this long non-coding RNA (714 nucleotides) under Brassica rapa (field mustard). Its description in RNAcentral is "long non-coding RNA (BRAP_LNC002189)". The record is from RNAcentral. Lineage: Eukaryota; Viridiplantae; Streptophyta; Magnoliopsida; Brassicales; Brassicaceae.
AGUUAAUAUUAUUGUUAAAACCCAAACUCUUGAAUCACCUAAUAUGAGUCUAAGGAGUCGCAUAUUCUAUUUUCGUUAGGAAAAUAUCUUUUUUUCUAAGAAAAUAUCUUUUUUUUUCUAAGAAAAAAUUAACUUAACAUGAUUUGAACUUCACCCUAGAGAUAUGUAUGGAUCCAGAAUUUUCUAGUCAUUCAGGAAAAAAACAAUUGUUAUUAGAAUUAUAUAGAUGUAUAUCCACACGUACAAUUUUUUUGUAUUACUAUAUACAACUUCCAUAAGAUCUUAUACAUAAAAUUUCAAAAAAAAAAAGAAAAGGGAAUAGAUUUGAUAAAUUUUCCUUUUUGAAAAGAUCAAAAUUUAGUAAAAACAAAGAAGAAGAUCAAAAACUUUUAUAGGAAAAAUAAAAAAUGUACUGAGAUUUACUUGCCCAAAUUAAGAUUUUAGUGCCUCAAAAACUUUCACAUGAAAAGAAAGACAAGCAAUGGUAAGUAGAGUCUGCAUCUCAUGAGUGGUUGUCCAACUUAGCCCUCUUUUCAUUUAGACAUUUGAAGACCACACAAGAACUUAUCCACCAAUAAUAAAACUCUCUUUUCUUCUUCCUUUUUUUUUUUUUGAACAACAAACUUGAUUAGAUGAUAAGAUUAAGUCUAGUACAUUGCAUGAGAAGCAGUACGCAGAGCUGCUUUAGCUAGAAAGUCAGCUGCUGAAUUCUGG